This 432-nucleotide unclassified non-coding RNA is filed under the name soil metagenome. RNAcentral's name for it is "partial contains 5.8S ribosomal RNA, internal transcribed spacer 2, and large subunit ribosomal RNA". The stretch from base 1 to 120 matches the Rfam family "5.8S ribosomal RNA", at positions 35 to 154 of the family's 154-position model. The record is from RNAcentral.
GAUGAAGAACGUAGCGAAAUGCGAUACGUAAUGUGAAUUGCAGAAUUCAGUGAAUCAUCGAAUCUUUGAACGCAUAUUGCGCUCUCUGGUAUUCCGGAGAGCAUGCUUGUUUGAGUAUCAGUAAACACCUCAACUUCCAUAUCUUUUUUGAAAUGGGAGUUGGACUUGAGUGAUCCCAACGCUUUUCCUCACCGAAAAGUGGCGGGUUACUUGAAAUGCAGGUGCAGCUGGACUUUUCUCUGAGCUAUAAGCAUAUCUAUUUAGUCUGCCUAAAAAACAGAUUAUUACCUUUGCUGCAGCUAACAUAAAGGAGAUUAGUUCUUGUGCUGACUGAUGCAGGAUUCACAAAGACGGCUUCGGCCGACUUUGUAAACUCGAUCUCAAGUCAAGUAAGACUACCCGCUGAACUUAAGCAUAUCAAUAAGCGGAGGA